CUGAUGCAGCCAUGCCGCGUGUGUGAAGAAGGCCUUCGGGUUGUAAAGCACUUUCAGUCGUGAGGAAAGGUUAGUAGUUAAUACCUGCUAGCUGUGACGUUACUGACAGAAGAAGCACCGGCUAACUCCGUGCCAGCAGCCGCGGUAAU
This 149-nucleotide ribosomal RNA is filed under the name uncultured bacterium. RNAcentral's name for it is "partial 16S ribosomal RNA". It matches the Rfam family "Bacterial small subunit ribosomal RNA", at positions 383 to 524 of the family's 1533-position model. The record is from RNAcentral.